Molecule: ribosomal RNA, 248 nt
Filed under: uncultured bacterium
Lineage: Bacteria
Description: partial 16S ribosomal RNA
Rfam family: Bacterial small subunit ribosomal RNA
Source: RNAcentral
UACAGAGGGGGCAAGCGUUGUUCGGAAUUACUGGGCGUAAAGGGCGCGUAGGCGGCCUGCUAAGUCGAACGUGAAAUCCCCGGGCUCAACCCGGGAACUGCGUCCGAUACUGGCAGGCUUGAAUUCGGGAGAGGGAUGCGGAAUUCCAGGUGUAGCGGUGAAAUGCGUAGAUAUCUGGAGGAACACCGGUGGCGAAGGCGGCAUCCUGGACCGAAAUUGACGCUGAGGCGCGAAAGCCAGGGGAGCAA